RNAcentral lists this unclassified non-coding RNA (350 nucleotides) under Hevea brasiliensis (rubber tree). Lineage: Eukaryota; Viridiplantae; Streptophyta; Magnoliopsida; Malpighiales; Euphorbiaceae. The record is from RNAcentral.
AAAUCAAACAGGUUAUAUACAUACGCCAGAGUUAUAUGAUCCAUGAUUGAUAUCUUCGGAAAGGACAAGAAGUUCAGUCUCAUGUAGGAAUUGUUUAAGGAAAUGGAGGAGUAAUAAGGGUAUGUUUCAUGGCUCACAAUGAGUAAGGUGAUGAGGCGGCUUGCUAUAGCUGGCAAGUAUGUAGAUGCAAUUGAGACAUUUAGAAAUUCAUUCAAUAAGCAUCAAUGUAAGUGCAGGGUUUUGAUUCUUUUGAUUUUUGAAGAUUCGAUUUGCGUAGAAAAUUAAAAGGAGAGCUGAGAAAGCAAAGAGAGAAAAGGAAAAUGAAAGAAGAUGAGGAAAGGAAGAACUAG